CUGCCUUUCGGGGCCGCAAACUAACUGUUUACAUAACAAAGUACCGCAUUUUAAACAUGUUACAAGCUGUGUGUCGCGCGGAAGGCGCGGUGACGGAGCU
This 100-nucleotide ribosomal RNA is filed under the name Cofana spectra. Its description in RNAcentral is "partial 28S ribosomal RNA". Lineage: Eukaryota; Metazoa; Arthropoda; Insecta; Hemiptera; Cicadellidae. The record is from RNAcentral.